UACGUAGGGUGCAAGCGUUGUCCGGAAUUAUUGGGCGUAAAGGGCUCGUAGGCGGUCCAUCGCGUCGGGAGUGAAAAGCUGGGGCUUAACCCCAGUCCUGCUUCCGAUACGGGUGGACUAGAGGUAGGUAGGGGAGAUCGGAAUUCCUGGUGUAGCGGUGAAAUGCGCAGAUAUCAGGAGGAACACCAAUGGCGAAGGCAGCACUCUGGGACGUGACUGACGCUGAGACGCGAAAGCGUGGGGAGCAAACAGG
RNAcentral lists this ribosomal RNA (253 nucleotides) under uncultured bacterium. Its description in RNAcentral is "partial 16S ribosomal RNA". It matches the Rfam family "Bacterial small subunit ribosomal RNA", at positions 524 to 776 of the family's 1533-position model. The record is from RNAcentral.